GACGAACGCUGGCGGCGUGCUUAACACAUGCGAGUCGAACGAGAGCGUAGAGAAAGCUUGCUUUUUCUACAAUCUAGUGGCAAACGGGUGAGUAACGCGUAAACAACCUGCCCUACGGAUGGGGACAACAGCUGGAAACGGCUGCUACUACCGAAUACGUUCCGAAAGUCGCAUGACUAUCGGAAGAAAGGAUGGCCUCUCUUUAUAAGCCAUCGCCGGAGGAGGGGUUUGCGUCUGAUUAGCUAGUUGGAGGGGUAACGGCCCACCAAGACGACGAUCAGUAGCCGGUCUGAGAGGCUGGACGCGCACAAUGGAACUGGAACAAGCGCCAGACUCCUACGGGAGGCAGCAGUGAGGAAUCUUCCGCCAUGGGCGAAAGGCUGGCGGGGCAACACCGCGUGGGUGGAGUCGGCAUUCGGGUUGUAAAGCUCUGUUAUACGGGGCGAAUAAUCUUGUGGUUAAUACCCAUGAGAAGUGACGGUACCGUAAGAGAAAGCCACGGCUAACUACGUG
This 513-nucleotide ribosomal RNA is filed under the name uncultured bacterium. RNAcentral's name for it is "partial 16S ribosomal RNA". It matches the Rfam family "Bacterial small subunit ribosomal RNA", at positions 28 to 507 of the family's 1533-position model. The record is from RNAcentral.